UCCUACGGGAGGCAGCAGUAGGGAAUUUUCGUCAUUUGUCGCGAGCCUGACCGAGCAAUGCCGCGUGAACGAGGAAGGUCUUCGGAUCGUAAAGUUCUGUUGAAGGGGAAAAAGAGCGGAGAGAGGAAAUGGUCUCCGAUUGAUAUUACCCUUCGAGGAAGUCACGGCUAACUACGUGCCAGCAGCCGCGGUAAUACGUAGGUGGCGAGCGUUAUCCGGAAUGAUUGGGCGUAAAGGGUGCGUAGGCGGCCUGCUAAGUCUGGAGUGAAAGGUACCGGCUCAACCGGUACAGGCUCUGGAAACUG
RNAcentral lists this ribosomal RNA (305 nucleotides) under uncultured bacterium. RNAcentral describes it as "bacterial SSU rRNA". It matches the Rfam family "Bacterial small subunit ribosomal RNA", at positions 337 to 635 of the family's 1533-position model. The record is from RNAcentral.